Molecule: ribosomal RNA, 857 nt
Filed under: uncultured bacterium
Lineage: Bacteria
Description: bacterial SSU rRNA
Rfam family: Bacterial small subunit ribosomal RNA
Source: RNAcentral
AGUCGACGAACAUUUAGACAGAUUACUUCGGUUUGAAAUCUUUUAUGACUGAGUGGCGGACGGGUGAGUAACGCGUGGGUAACCUGCCUCAUACAGGGGGAUAGCAGCUGGAAACGGCUGGUAAUACCGCAUAAGCGCACAGUACCACAUGGUACAGUGUGAAAAACUCCGGUGGUAUGAGAUGGACCCGCGUCUGAUUAGCUAGUUGGCGGGGUAACGGCCCACCAAGGCGACGAUCAGUAGCCGACCUGAGAGGGUGACCGGCCACAUUGGGACUGAGACACGGCCCAGACUCCUACGGGAGGCAGCAGUGGGGAAUAUUGCACAAUGGAGGAAACUCUGAUGCAGCGACGCCGCGUGAGUGAAGAAGUAGUUCGCUAUGUAAAGCUCUAUCAGCAGGGAAGAUAGUGACGGUACCUGACUAAGAAGCUCCGGCUAAAUACGUGCCAGCAGCCGCGGUAAUACGUAUGGAGCAAGCGUUAUCCGGAUUUACUGGGUGUAAAGGGAGUGUAGGUGGCCAGGCAAGUCAGAAGUGAAAGCCCGGGGCUCAACCCCGGGACUGCUUUUGAAACUGCAGGGCUAGAGUGCAGGAGGGGCAAGUGGAAUUCCUAGUGUAGCGGUGAAAUGCGUAGAUAUUAGGAGGAACACCAGUGGCGAAGGCGGCUUGCUGGACUGUAACUGACACUGAGGCUCGAAAGCGUGGGGAGCAAACAGGAUUAGAUACCCUGGUAGUCCACGCCGUANACGAUGAAUACUAGGUGUCNGGGCACAUAAGUGCUCCGGUGCCGCAGCAAACGCAAUAAGUAUUCCACCUGGGGAGUACGUUCGCAAGAAUGAAACUCAAAGGAAUUGACGGG